AUCACUUCUCAGCCUUUUGGCUAAGAUCAAGCGUAGGAUCUGUUCUUAUCAGAUUUACUUCCUUCCCACGAUAAUCUUUAAGAGGUAAUGUGGUACAACUCACAUUAGUAGAUUUUAGAAUAUUUGCUGAAGUCUC
RNAcentral lists this small nuclear RNA (136 nucleotides) under Saimiri boliviensis boliviensis (Bolivian squirrel monkey). RNAcentral describes it as "U2 spliceosomal RNA (ENSSBOG00000008441.1)". It matches the Rfam family "U2 spliceosomal RNA". Rfam says of the family: U2 is a small nuclear RNA (snRNA) component of the spliceosome (involved in pre-mRNA splicing). Complementary binding between U2 snRNA (in an area lying towards the 5' end but 3' to hairpin I) and the branchpoint sequence (BPS) of the intron results the bulging out of an unpaired adenosine, on the BPS, which initiates a nucleophilic attack at the intronic 5' splice site, thus starting the first of two transesterification reactions that mediate splicing. The record is from RNAcentral. Lineage: Eukaryota; Metazoa; Chordata; Mammalia; Primates; Cebidae.